RNAcentral lists this ribosomal RNA (527 nucleotides) under Aspergillus sp. RNAcentral describes it as "eukaryotic LSU rRNA". The stretch from base 154 to 307 matches the Rfam family "5.8S ribosomal RNA". The record is from RNAcentral. Lineage: Eukaryota; Fungi; Ascomycota; Eurotiomycetes; Eurotiales; Aspergillaceae.
GUGUUUAUUGUACCUUGUUGCUUCGGCGGGCCCGCCGUUUUCGAACGGCCGCCGGGGAGGCCUUGCGCCCCCGGGCCCGCGCCCGCCGAAGACCCCAACAUGAACUCUGUUCUGAAAGUAUGCAGUCUGAGUUUGAUUACCAUAAUCAAUUAAAACUUUCAACAACGGAUCUCUUGGUUCCGGCAUCGAUGAAGAACGCAGCGAAAUGCGAUAAGUAAUGUGAAUUGCAGAAUUCAGUGAAUCAUCGAGUCUUUGAACGCACAUUGCGCCCCCUGGUAUUCCGGGGGGCAUGCCUGUCCGAGCGUCAUUGCUGCCCUCAAGCACGGCUUGUGUGUUGGGCCCCCGUCCCCGGUUCUCCCCGGGGACGGGCCCGAAAGGCAGCGGCGGCACCGCGUCCGAUCCUCGAGCGUAUGGGGCUUUGUCACCCGCUCUGUAGGCCCGGCCGGCGCCAGCCGACACCCCAACUUUAUUUUCUAAGGUUGACCUCGGAUCAGGUAGGGAUACCCGCUGAACUUAAGCAUAUCAAU